This 8034-nucleotide small RNA is filed under the name Pongo abelii (Sumatran orangutan). RNAcentral describes it as "retained intron". Lineage: Eukaryota; Metazoa; Chordata; Mammalia; Primates; Hominidae. The record is from RNAcentral.
CUCAGCUCCCUGUGGUGGGGCAUGGCACAGGCUUCCCGCUCCCCACGGCUGGUUUGCACAGCCUCCCGACUGUGCCGUGGUGUCUCCUUCCCUAAAGUGGGACAGUCGUUUCUGUGUCCUGCGGGCCUCUGAGGACCAGAUGUGUGUGAGAGGCCUUCAGGGCCUGCUGGCUGGGGUGGUGGCGGUGCCUGGAGAAUGGGUUGGUGGCCGGAGGGGCCAGGUGGCUAACCACUCUGCUCUUCCGUGGCAGCGGAGCUGGAGUUCGCCCAAAUCAUCAUCAUCGUCGUGGUGGUCACGGUGAUGGUGGUGGUUAUCGUCUGCCUGCUGAACCACUACAAAGUCUCCACGCGGUCCUUCAUCAACCGCCCGAGCCAGAGCCGGAGGCGGGAGGACGGGCUGCCGCAGAUCAUGCAUGCCCCGCGGUCCAGGGACAGGUUCACAGCGCCGUCCUUCAUCCAGAGGGAUCGCUUCAGCCGCUUCCAGCCCACCUACCCCUAUGUGCAGCACGAGAUUGAUCUUCCUCCCACCAUCUCCCUGUCCGACGGUGAAGAGCCACCUCCUUACCAGGGGCCCUGCACCCUGCAGCUGCGGGACCCUGAACAGCAGAUGGAACUCAACCGAGAGUCCGUGAGGGCCCCGCCCAACCGAACCAUAUUUGACAGUGAUUUGAUAGACAUUGCUAUGUAUAGCGGGGGCCCAUGCCCACCCAGCAGCAACUCGGGCAUCAGUGCAAGCACCUGCAGCAGUAACGGGAGGAUGGAGGGGCCGCCCCCCACAUACAGCGAGGUGAUGGGCCACCACCCAGGUGCCUCUUUCCUCCAUCACCAGCGCAGCAACGCACACAGGGGCAGCAGACUGCAGUUUCAGCAGAACAAUGCAGAGAGCACAAUAGUACCCAUCAAAGGCAAAGAUAGGAAGCCUGGGAACCUGGUCUGAUUCCCUCCAACGUGCACUUCAGCUGGAGAAAGAAACCAAGGAGGGAAGCGGCCGCUGGGCCCCUCCUGCGCACAGUGUUGUUCAGUUUCACAUGGUACAAAUAAGUAAAACCAAAUGAGCAAACACGGUCUUUGUUUCUGAUUCCUUUUAGGGGAAUUGCAUGCAAACUAGACUGAAAUGAUACAAACUUCCAUCUGGUCUGACCGCAAACAGUGUUUAUUUGGGGACAGGGGUUGGGAUGGGGGUGUGGGCAGGGGAAAACAGAGAAAGGGAUGCUUUGAAGAUAUCAUGAAAUAAAACCCACAGAGGUAUUUGAUUUAUUUAAUUGUGAAAGGAGACUUUGCAGAUAAAUGAGGCCAGAAUGGCCUGUUUUAUAAUUAACCGAAUAAAGAAGGAAGCAUUAUUAUAUAUUAUUUUGGGGAAGAACCAGCCAGUUCGCUUUUUCUCCUAAGGUGUGGAACUUUUAUUUUGUUUUAAAAAUAUGAAUCAAAAUUCUUGUUUUGUGUGCCAAGGUAUAAAGUGGAGAAGUUAGAUGAGUGCAAGGAGCUCCUUUGUGUUGUGAUGAUGUGUUUUAAAAGUUGCACUAUCUUAAUGUUGAAAAUAUUUACGAGGGAACUGUUUUACGUGAAGUUCUGUAUGUUGUCUUUUCACCUGUGGAUUGUAAUCAGGCCCAAGGAAUAUCCUGGAGUGGUCCCCAGAAUCAUCCAAGAAAAGAUAUUUGGGGACGUAGCCUAACAUUUUACCAACUUAUGUAAAUCAAAAAAGUCAUUAUUGUUGCAGGAGUUUGCAUCAAAUAGCAGUGCAUCGCUGAAGCUUUUGGAGACUUUUGGAUGGAAGAUAGGGAAGAUUAAGUUCCAGCAUUUCUGACUUGUUAUUUUGAGUUACUCUGCUAAUCUUAGGCUGCAUAGUUUAUGAGAAAAUGAACACAUGCAUUUAUGGAUCCAGUAUCAUGCAGUGCUGCCCUCAUCCUCCAGCAGUGCAAUUUCUUCAGUAAUUUAGAUUUUUUUCACUAUAGCAUGAAAUAUAUUCAAAUACAUACCUUAUUUUAUGCAAUAAAUUGUUUAAAAUGCGAGGUGGUUAUUCUGCAUACUGUUGAAAUAUGUGACUCCUCAGUAUAUUCCCAUUGCCUCUCCCCUUUCCUCGACAGCUUAGUUCAGUUCUGCAGGGCUGCUCAGUUCACAGGAGGCUCCCAGCAGCCACCCCACAUCCAGCCUACCCAGAACUUCGUGUGGAAGUGGUGUGGGUGGUGGUUUCUUAUGCUUUGGAAGCCCCUAGAAAUGACGGAAGAAUGCCAUGUUGCUGAUCGUGGUAAUAAGCCAUUGUGGGUUAUUGUAUGUCACUAGUAUUAGCAUAGCAUUCUUAAAGGAAUGCAGUGCUCAAAACCUACCCACAUUCCCGCAGGAUUCUACCAAACCCUUCCCCAGGCCAGCCUUUGUACUGAAGGCAAGAACUGGACAGUCAGAGAACAGUGGAAGGGGCAAGUGACUGAAGAGCACCGGGUAAAAAGCACAACAUGCAGUUAAAAUGCAACUAGAAAACUAAUUUUAAAUAUUGUUAGUUUUAAUAUUCCUGAUAUUUACAAAUAUUCAUUCUUAUAUACAAUGAAAAAAAUAACUUUCUUCUGCAGAUGUAAGCACUGGCUUUUAGAAGAGCAGCAGCCAACACGUUUAGCAGACACUGCACGUGGAGAAGGGCUUAUCUGCAGUACAGUCUGCCAUGUGGAUGGUGGGCCUCUGUGGCCUCUUCACGUAACAAGAUGAGUUGGAAUGGUGAUUCCAUGACUCCCAUCUAUGCAGCUUUAAAGCCAAAUCCGCGUGUGUGUGUUUGUGUCUGUCUGUGGGUCUCGAAGGUGAUCCGUUGGUGCGGUGGCUCUGUGCUGUAACUGGAGAGACUGUUCCAAACCCCAAGAGUUGUCUGAUCCUAGUCUGUUCCCUUCUGCUUCUUACCUCUGUAGAUAGGUCACUGGUUUUUGUUUGUUUGUUUUGAGGAUUGGAAUUUCCAUUACAUUCAUCCUUUGCACACAGUAACAUCCACAGAACUAGCCUAACUCUUAAAAGGAGAGAGGAAAAACACGGGCACCAGUUGUCAGCUCAUGCUUACAACCGUGUGUGGAAGUAUAUACAGUUGAGAGUCACAGUGGAGGUUCUGAGACUGGAUUCAGUCUUGUUCCAGUGACACUUGGAAGGCCUCUGCUGGAGAGAAACCAGCUCUCAGGGCAGAGAUUGGCUUGGGGCCAGAAGGACCCUCCCCAACCCUGGAGACGCCCUGAAGGUUCACUGGCUCUCCAGAUUAGCCUCUCUUCCUCUGUCAGGCAAAGAUGAGGAGCCGGUGUUCCCAUCGGGCCCUGCUGGCAGGGACUUGCAGUGGAUUCUUGGUCAGGUGUGCCCACAGAUGCGGAGGCGAGGUGAGUGAUUCCAUCAUUUCAGUUCUCACCUGCAGUUUUGGUGAAGCAGGAGAUGCACCCCACAGCUCUAGCUCUCAAAUGGCUUCACAGUCCUUACUUCUCUACCUGCCUCAAGAAGGGGCUCAGAGCAGAGACUUGUGAAUUCCUUAGUAACUGCGAGUAUAUGAAUGUUUUGAACAUGUCCACAGUAUUGGCGAGAUAAUUAGGUAAUUCGGAUACCUUUAAUCAUCUUUCAAGAAAGGCUCCUCCCAUUCAACCACCCUAGAGAAUUGCCUUUGUUAAAUAGUUAUUUAAAGACACAUACAUAUCAAACCAUGACUUUGAAAGGUCUUCGAGGCUGGGACUCUGUAAUGAAUUAGUUUAAAAGCCAAGGUCAUAACAUGAAUUGAUAGUCAAUUUCCCUUCAGCACAAGGAAAAGGUGGUUUAGAUCAGUAGCUCUUUUGAAGGUUGUGGCUGACCUGUUCGUACCGUGUCGCCUCAUGGCUAGCGUGGCGUUGAAAGAGUAGCGAUUGGGAAGAUGAAGCUUACACAGUGGGGCCUAUUGUUCUUUCAAGAACCCUUUUUUUAGCUUAUAGAACCCAUGGGUCCAGUUUAGUAACCAGUGAUUUGGGCAAUCAGUGAUAGGUUUAUAAUCUUAGAUUAUUCCAGCAAAGUGUGGAUUGCAUUGUUAGGAAGAACAUUUGGUGGGAAUGAAUGAACACUCUUGGGCAUACCGCUGACUUUUGUCCCUUGUUCCAGGUGUAGGAGACCCAAGGCAUCUUGAAUCCCAUCUAUAAGAACACAAUCUUCCAGCAUUUGCUUUUUCAGAAACUCUAGCAUUCUUUUUAAAUACUGAUGCAAUCCUUAAUGGAAAAGAGAUUUCAUGAAGCAAAUUAUGUAUUUCAAUAGUUGAUCUAUUUUCAGUGUCCAAAAUUUACUAAUACAGAAGCUUGACAAGCAUAUCCUCACCCUCCCCACCACAUAAACGCAUGGACACACACCCAAGCCACAAGAAAUCCCAAGAGAGCAGAAGAGAAUUUUUAAAAGAUUUAUCGUGAGGACUGCAUUUCCAUUCACUAAUUUUGGCUCAAACUGAGGCAGGGAAUAGGGGCCAACAGUAAAUGGGGGAGGCCUCGUGACACCAGCAGAGGAAUUUUGUACCCAGGCGAGGACUUCUUGAACUUCCACGUAUCUCCAUUUGAUCUCUUUCACAUUUAUUUCAUCUUCAUAAGAAUGAGAAAGGCUCAAAAGGAAGCAGUUUUAGAAAGCUUCUCUGACCUAGAAGAAUCCAUCCAAAUCCCUGCCUUCCUCUCUGAACCAACAGUUCCUAUCUCUGACUGGGGCCAUCCUCUAUCUUCCAUCCAGCGGCUCUUCUUUUUAGGAAGGCGCUGGUGCAGAGCAUUUCAAAUAUGUCCUUAGGCCAGAUACUGGUUGCUAGUACAGAGUCACACAGCACCCAGUCCCAAGCCCUCCCUCAAAGGACCGGCUCAUGGCGUUGGUCACUGGCAGGCUCAGAGACAUGCUGCUGUGGGCGCAGGGAGCCCGGCCCCCCACGCAGCCAUGACUGGAUGCGCCCCCAUCUCAGGGGCUUGCUGCACUGCUCGUUGAUUGAAUUUUGCUACUUAGAAUGGCAGCAUUAACUUUGUGUACCAUUCAUUUUUUUAAAAAUUUCCAAAGCUCAGCAGUGUAUGAAAGAAAAAAUUGGGAAAGAUACUUGGUUUCUGUUAACUUUUGCGUUGCUUGCUUAAGUGAUUAAAGCCAGUGCUUGGAGCCAAGGCUUCAUGCCACGAACAUGCCCCACAGCCUGCCCUUUGCUCUCCUGCUCACACUGACUGAGAAUGCCGCGUGCUUGGCCUACUGAGGUGAAAGAACAAUUGAAUGACGGGUGGGCAAAGGGAGAACUUCCCCUUCUUGGUGUGAGGAAAGUCACAAAUUAAAAAAUGUUGCUUCCGGCCCAGAUCCUAAAUGCUAGUUCUCAGCAGCUACGUGGCUUACCAUUCACCAUUUCCACCACUGCCAGCUGCCAGCACCUCCACAGAUCACAGAGAUGUGAACAGACAAUGGAAAGCACUCUUAGCCUUGCAGUGGUCUAUAUUUUUUAGGAACCAAGAUUUCAGCAUUCUUUAUUACCCAGCACGCUGUGUCCUUUGCAGAGUUCAAGUUUAUGUUACUGCCAGGGUCAGACAGUCAUUUGCUGCUGCUGCUGCUGCUGCUGCUUCCUGAACUGGAUGCAUUAGGAAGCUGCUGUCUGAGUGUAGGAAUGUCUUGCUAAGAAAGCAAUGUCUUCCUUCAAUCCUUUUCUUUCUCCCCUCCGCGUGUCCUUGUUUUUGUGUAAUGCGGGAGAGGGUUAGAGCUAUAGAGAUUAUAUAUACACUAUCCGUGCACAUUAUAUAUAUGUAGAUAUACCCCUAUCAUGUCAGAGAUCUGCAUGUCAGUUUUUCAGCAACUAAGGUGCCUCAUGUUCUGAGUUCAGCAGAUAUAGGAACCAAGCCGCCCCCUCCUGCACUUGAUGCUCCCACCUUUGUUGUGCCUCACUUAAAAUGGUGCUUUUUUCAGUUGUCUGUCUUUUCUUAUGUUUUUAUUUGUAAGGUGCUGUAUAUAAGUUGAAUAUAUUAUGCACAUAUCCUACCCAAUGGGUAGAACAAAAAGUUGUUAAUACUGUAAUAUAAUGUAUAGAUGAUACCAAUUUUAACAGAAAUGGCAUAGAAUUUGUGAAUGCCUAUGUGCUUUGUCCUCUUUUGUAAGGAAAUUUGCAAAUGGAUGCAUACAGAUUAAAGUCUAUGUAGUUUAUUUUCCUAUUAAAUAUCAAGAUUAUAACACAAGAGAAAGAAGUGUGAACAAACAAGCAACAGUUUAUGACCAGCGUAUAUAUAUAGCAAUGGAAAGUUGCAUCUUUGCUGUGAAAACACUUUAAAGAAAAUACUUUUUAAAAAAUCCCACAGCUUUUUGGUUGCCACUAGACGCUUCUUAUUUUAAUCAUUUUAGUAAAGCUCAGCUGGACCAGUGUUAGUUACAUUUGAGUCAGAAAAAUGUUGUUUUUCAACUUGCUUUAUAAUCUCCUGCAUCUAUCUAUCUCCUGCUGUAGCAUCACGAAGGUGUCAGGCCUCAGUGAAAAGGGCACAUUUUUGUUGUUAAUAUUGCAGAAACUGUGUCAGAGGAAUAAGUAAAUCAGCCUGCAGCAGAGGACUUUGUUCAGCUCCAGAGGCAUCUGUGACCGUCUGUGUCCAAGUCUCUCUGUGCCUUUUUCUUUUACAAACUGAAGCUGUGGAGCCAAUGAAGUAACAGUAGAGAUUGUAGGGAAAGAAUACCUCAGGAAAAACAAAUCCACUUACAAGAAGACCCUGUUCUUAGAAAAAGUGUUUAGUUAUGGGUUAGCACUAGAAGAGACUUGGCUGUCAGCCAGCCAAGUGAAGGACCUCUCAUCCAUUCCCAUUCAUGUCCCAUCAUAAUCCUGACCCAAAAAGCAAACUCGGUUUUGCCAUCAGUUAGAAAUUACGUUUUGAAUUGUAUAUUGUUACAUCUCUCUUCCAGCUUAGUUUUUAGUGUCUGAUUGUGACCUCUGCAUUUAUCUUCAAAUACCCUAAUUUUAAAACAAAAGAACAAGAAAAGUUUAUAACAACACCGUGUUCAUUAAAACCAUGGUUGAAUCUUGGGUGUGGGCAUCCUUUCGAGUGCUGUCCAUAAGAGCAGUUCGUGGAAUUUUGCCCAUCUGACCCAUAUUAUCAGCUUAUUCUGCCACCAGAGACUCUAAUAAAUUCCAAAGUUUUUAUUUGCUCCAUGGUGUAUGUUCUGACUUUGAAAAUGUCAGAUUCUAUAAUCAUACCCCUAACAUCCAGGAAACAAAUGACCGACUAUCCUUAAACUGAAAUUGACUCUACAAUGCAACUCUUAAUGCUGAAUGGAUUAAAAGUCAGCCCUUUUAGUAUCUGUUUGAAAGGGCUGUGAAAAGUUGACACUCUUGUUGUUGUGGAUCCUGCGUGUCUAGACCCAUGUGUUGGUUCCAUCAUAUACUGUAGGGUGCACCCCUUGGGAUUCAGCAUUAAGAACUGAGGCUCAUUGUUGUCAGAAACAAAGCUCCCACCCCCCAGGUUCAACCUUGUGGGAGAACCGUUGAGCAUGAGAAUGUUCUAGACUCAGAGGUACUAAAAUUUGUUACCACAUCAUUGCUUCCUUUCUACAGGACGAAUUGAGGCUUAAACUUUACUGUUAAUGAUACUGGUUCAUUUUAAUGUGCUUGUUGGUAUGUUGCUAUUUUUCAUUUCAUAGCUUUCAAAAAUCAUGCUAAUUGUAUACUUGUCUAGUUUAAGGCUAUUUUAAAAUAUGUACAAUACUAUUCACAGCAUUUAGUUCAUUUAAUUUUUAUUAUAAAGCAAUCUACUAAAAAAGUACAACUGUAUUUGAACUUUUCAAUAGUUGGUUGUGAGCUAUGAUAAUCAAAAGUCAUUAAAGUCUUUUUUAACAAACAUUUGUGCUUACUUUUCAACAUAAUUCCCAGUUAUAUACAGAAAAAGAUUUCCACCUGUCACGUAUCUGCCUCUUUUACCUGAGCAAUGGUGAUGUAGUUCUUAGACCUAAGGUCUGUAAUUGCAAUACUUUUAAAGAAAGAUGUUGCUCUAAGUGCUGUUUGUUAGUUAUGAAAUCAGAUUUUUCUGCUUGUUCUUAAUGCUGUGGUCAAACCAUAGCACAAAAUCAUUAAAAAUAAUCAGCGGCAUAC